CAGUAGCCGCGGUAAUACGGAGGGUGCAAGCGUUAAUCGGAAUUACUGGGCGUAAAGCGCACGCAGGCGGUCUGUCAAGUCAGAUGUGAAAUCCCCGGGCUUAACCUGGGAACUGCAUUUGAAACUGGCAGACUGGAGUCUUGUAGAGGGGGGUAGAAUUCCAGGUGUAGCGGUGAAAUGCGUAGAGAUCUGGAGGAAUACCGGUGGCGAAGGCGGCCCCCUGGACAAAGACUGACGCUCAGGUGCGAAAGCGUGGGGAGCAAACAGGAUUAGAUACCCGUGUAGUCCCUGUCUCUUAUAC
Molecule: ribosomal RNA, 301 nt
Filed under: uncultured bacterium
Lineage: Bacteria
Description: partial 16S ribosomal RNA
Rfam family: Bacterial small subunit ribosomal RNA
Source: RNAcentral